Molecule: ribosomal RNA, 682 nt
Filed under: Inocybe fuscicothurnata
Lineage: Eukaryota; Fungi; Basidiomycota; Agaricomycetes; Agaricales; Inocybaceae
Description: LSU rRNA
Rfam family: Eukaryotic large subunit ribosomal RNA
Source: RNAcentral
UUAAGCAUAUCAAUAAGCGGAGGAAAAGAAACUAACAAGGAUUCCCCUAGUAACUGCGAGUGAAGCGGGAAAAGCUCAAAUUUGAAAUCUGGCAGGUCUUGAACUUGUCCGAGUUGUAAUCUAGAGAAGUGUUACCUGUGCUGGACCGUGUACAAGUCUCCUGGAAUGGAGCGUCACAGAGGGUGAGAAUCCCGUCUUUGACACGGACUGCCUGCACGUUAUGGUGCGCUCUCAAAGAGUCGAGUUGUUUGGGAAUGCAGCUCAAAAUGGGUGGUAAAUGCCAUCUAAAGCUAAAUAUUGGCGAGAGACCGAUAGCGAACAAGUACCGUGAGGGAAAGAUGAAAAGUACUUUGGAAAGAGAGUUAAACAGUACGUGAAAUUGCUGAAAGGGAAACGCUUGAAGUCAGUCGCGUUGGCUGGAAAUCAACCUUGCUUUUGCUUGGUGUACUUUCUGGUUGACGGGUCAGCAUCAAUUUUGACCGCUGGAUAAAGUCUUUGGGAAUGUGGCAUCUUAGGAUGUGUUAUAGCCCAUUGUCGCAUACAACGGUUGGGAUUGAGGAACUCAGCAUGCCCGCAAGGGACAGGUUUUUGACCAUGUUUUCGUGCUUAGGAUGCUGGCAUAAUGGCUUUAAUCGACCCGUCUUGAAACACGGACCAAGGAGUCUAACAUGCCUGCGAGUGU